This 312-nucleotide unclassified non-coding RNA is filed under the name Hevea brasiliensis (rubber tree). The record is from RNAcentral. Lineage: Eukaryota; Viridiplantae; Streptophyta; Magnoliopsida; Malpighiales; Euphorbiaceae.
CUCCAUUCCUUUCUUCGGUCUGGUGAUGUCUUUGAUUGGAUCUUUGCUCACAAUGCUAAUAGCCUUGAUACUUCCUUGUGCUUGUUUUCUAAGCAUCUUAAGGGAAGGGCUAAAGUAACCAGAGUUCAGGCUGCACUCUGCAUCAUGAUCAUCACAGUAGGGGUGAUAUCAUCAGUCUUUGGAACCUACUCAGCCCUCUGCAAAAUUGUUGAGAGUUUGAGAAGCUGAAUUUUUGUGUUUUGUCUCCAUCAGUGAAAGAGUAAAUUUUGAUUUUCUAGACUACCUUCUUAAACCUUCCAUUUCCAAAUCCAU